This 497-nucleotide ribosomal RNA is filed under the name uncultured bacterium. RNAcentral's name for it is "partial 16S ribosomal RNA". It matches the Rfam family "Bacterial small subunit ribosomal RNA", at positions 28 to 507 of the family's 1533-position model. The record is from RNAcentral.
GAUGAACGCUGGCGGCGUGCCUAAUACAUGCAAGUCGAGCGAACAGACGAGGAUCUUGCUCCUCUGACGUUAGCGGCGGACGGGUGAGUAACACGUGGAUAACCUACCUAUAAGACUGGGAUCACUUCGGGAAACCGGAGCUAAUACCGUAUAAUCUAUUGAACCGCAUGGUUCAAUAGUGAAAGACGGUUUUGCUGUCACUUAUAGAUGGAUCCGCGCCGCAUUAGCUAGUUGGUAAGGUAACGGCUUACCAAGGCAACGAUGCGUAGCCGACCUGAGAGGCGGAUCGGCCACACGUGAACGUAGACACGGUCCUGGCUACUAAGGGACGCAGCAGUAGGGAAUGUUCCGCAAUGGUCGAAAGCCUGGCGGAGCAACCGCGAGUGAGUGAUGAAGGUCUUCGGUUCGUAAAACUCUGUUAUGAGGGAUGAACAAAUGUGUAAGUAACUAUGCACGUCUUGACGGUAACUAAUCAGAAAGCCACGGCUAACUACGUG